UGGGCAACCUGCCCCUCUCUCUGGGGUAACCCCGGGAAACCGGAGCUAAUACCGGAUACGACCUCCACGGGCAUCUGCGGAGGUGGAAAGUUUUUGCGGCUGAGGAUGGGCCCGCGGCCUAUCAGCUUGUUGGUGGGGUCAUGGCUCACCAAGGCGACGACGGGUAGCUGGU
RNAcentral lists this ribosomal RNA (172 nucleotides) under uncultured bacterium. Its description in RNAcentral is "partial 16S ribosomal RNA". It matches the Rfam family "Bacterial small subunit ribosomal RNA", at positions 118 to 291 of the family's 1533-position model. The record is from RNAcentral.